GGAGUCCUACGGGAGGCAGCAGUGGGACAGUUGGCUCAGAACGAAGGCUGGCGGCUGGCUCAGAACGAACGCUGGCGGCUGGCUCAGAACGAACGCUGGCGGCGUGCCUAACACAUGCAAGUCGAGCGAGAAAGCCCGUAAGGGUGAGGACAGCGGCGCAGGGGUGCGUAACACGUGGGUAAUCUGCCUCGAAGUCUGGAAUAACUCUCCGAAAGGGGUGCUAAUGCCUGAUGCUGACCACGGGGGCUUCGGCUCCCGAGGGAAAAGAUGGCCUCUGCAGGCAAGCUAUCGCUUCGAGAUGAGCCCGCGGCCCAUCAGCUCGUUGGCGGGGUAAUGGCCCACCAAGGCGGCGACGGGUAGCUGGUCUGAGAGGACGAUCAGCCACACUGGAACUGAGACACUGUCCAGAGUCCUACGGGAGGCAGCAGUGGAUCUGAAGAUAAAC
RNAcentral lists this small RNA (445 nucleotides) under uncultured bacterium. RNAcentral's name for it is "bacterial SSU rRNA". The stretch from base 61 to 445 matches the Rfam family "Bacterial small subunit ribosomal RNA", at positions 1 to 372 of the family's 1533-position model. The record is from RNAcentral.